UACGUAGGGCGCAAGCGUUAUCCGGAAUUAUUGGGCGUAAAGAGCUCGUAGGCGGUUUGUCGCGUCUGCUGUGAAAGACCGGGGCUCAACUCCGGUUCUGCAGUGGGUACGGGCAGACUAGAGUGCAGUAGGGGGAGACUGGAAUUCCUGGUGUAGCGGUGAAAUGCGCAGAUAUCAGGAGGAACACCGAUGGCGAAGGCAGGUCUCUAGGCUGUAACUGACGCUGAGGAGCGAAAGCAUGGGGAGCGAACAGG
RNAcentral lists this ribosomal RNA (254 nucleotides) under uncultured bacterium. RNAcentral's name for it is "partial 16S ribosomal RNA". It matches the Rfam family "Bacterial small subunit ribosomal RNA", at positions 524 to 776 of the family's 1533-position model. The record is from RNAcentral.